GGCCUGUUCAGCCAGAGCAGUCCCACCCCGGUUGAACUGCCAUUUUGUUGUAAAACUUGAAUUGACCUUGCCCCCCGCCCCAGGGGAACUUAUUUCAAAGCAAGUCUGGGAAACCAGUCCCACGUAACAAAGUCCAAAUGCAAGGGUGGGUCAGGCCAGGUGGAGGUAUUCAAUCAGUGGGGGCACAUACUGUGCACAUACUACCAAGGAGCAUGGGCCCCGACCUUUGGGCACCUUUUUGGGCACCAAAUCUGAACUAGGUGAUAGGCUGGUUCAAAUGUCUACUAGGGUAAAUUGUAAUUCAAUUGGUCGCCUAGCAUCACUGUGGAGUUUCCUGUGUGUAUUACAAAUUCAUUG
This is a long non-coding RNA of Lutra lutra (Eurasian river otter), 357 nucleotides long. RefSeq lists it as uncharacterized. Lineage: Eukaryota; Metazoa; Chordata; Mammalia; Carnivora; Mustelidae. The record is from RefSeq and is a predicted model, not a curated record. The transcript has 3 exons.